AACGAUGAAGCCCUUCGGGGUGGAUUAGUGGCGAACGGGUGAGUAACACGUGGGCAAUCUGCCCUGCACUCUGGGACAAGCCCUGGAAACGGGGUCUAAUACCGGAUAUGACCGUCCAUCGCAUGGUGGAUGGUGUAAAGCUCCGGCGGUGCAGGAUGAGCCCGCGGCCUAUCAGCUAGUUGGUGAGGUAGUGGCUCACCAAGGCGACGACGGGUAGCCGGCCUGAGAGGGCGACCGGCCACACUGGGACUGAGACACGGCCCAGACUCCUACGGGAGGCAGCAGUGGGGAAUAUUGCACAAUGGGCGAAAGCCUGAUGCAGCGACGCCGCGUGAGGGAUGACGGCCUUCGGGUUGUAAACCUCUUUCAGCAGGGAAGAAGCGAAAGUGACGGUACCUGCAGAAGAAGCGCCGGCUAACUACGUGCCAGCAGCCGCGGUAAUACGUAGGGCGCAAGCGUUGUCCGGAAUUAUUGGGCGUAAAGAGCUCGUAGGCGGCUUGUCACGUCGGUUGUGAAAGCCCGGGGCUUAACCCCGGGUCUGCAGUCGAUACGGGCAGGCUAGAGUUCGGUAGGGGAGAUCGGAAUUCCUGGUGUAGCGGUGAAAUGCGCAGAUAUCAGGAGGAACACCGGUGGCGAAGGCGGAUCUCUGGGCCGAUACUGACGCUGAGGAGCGAAAGCGUGGGGAGCGAACAGGAUUAGAUACCCUGGUAGUCCACGCCGUAAACGGUGGGCACUAGGUGUGGGCAACA
Molecule: ribosomal RNA, 749 nt
Filed under: Streptomyces diastaticus subsp. diastaticus
Lineage: Bacteria; Bacillati; Actinomycetota; Actinomycetes; Kitasatosporales; Streptomycetaceae
Description: bacterial SSU rRNA
Rfam family: Bacterial small subunit ribosomal RNA
Source: RNAcentral